UGGGGAAUUUUGGACAAUGGGCGAAAGCCUGAUCCAGCAAUGCCGCGUGUGUGAAGAAGGCCUUCGGGUUGUAAAGCACUUUUGUCCGGAAAGAAAUCCUUGGCUCUAAUACAGUCGGGGGAUGACGGUACCGGAAGAAUAAGCACCGGCUAACUACGUGCCAGCAGCCGCGGUAAUACGUAGGGUGCAAGCGUUAAUCGGAAUUACUGGGCGUAAAGCGUGCGCAGGCGGUUUGCUAAGACCGAUGUGAAAUCCCCGGGCUCAACCUGGGAACUGCAUUGGUGACUGGCAGGCUAGAGUAUGGCAGAGGGGGGUAGAAUUCCACGUGUAGCAGUGAAAUGCGUAGAGAUGUGGAGGAAUACCGAUGGCGAAGGCAGCCCCCUGGGGCCAAUACUGACGCUCAUGCACGAAAGCGUGGGGGAGCAAACAGGAUUAGAUACCCUGGUAGUCCACGCCCUAAACGAUGUCAACUAGUUGUUGGGGAUUCAUUUCCUUAGUAACGUAGCUAACGCGUGAAGUUGACCGCCUGGGGGAGUACGGUCGCAAGAUUAAAACUCAAAUGAAUUGACGGGGUCAUAGCUGUUUCCU
RNAcentral lists this ribosomal RNA (588 nucleotides) under uncultured bacterium. RNAcentral's name for it is "partial 16S ribosomal RNA". It matches the Rfam family "Bacterial small subunit ribosomal RNA", at positions 355 to 1375 of the family's 1533-position model. The record is from RNAcentral.